GCCAACCACCGUAUCACCCUGAAUGCACCCAACCUCGUGAGAUCUCGGAAUCUAAGCAGAGUUUAGCCUGUUUAGUACUUUAAUGGCAGGCUACCUAAGAAUACCAGAAGUUGUAUAUU
This 119-nucleotide ribosomal RNA is filed under the name Petromyzon marinus (sea lamprey). The record is from RNAcentral. Lineage: Eukaryota; Metazoa; Chordata; Hyperoartia; Petromyzontiformes; Petromyzontidae.